AUAUAUUUUAUAAAAAUAAAAAAAAUCAGUUCUUAUCAGUUUAUAUCUGAUACGUCCCCCAUCGGGGGACUACAUAUUAAAUGGAUUUUUCGAAAUGGGGCUUGCUCCGUCCGCUCCACGGACGGUACACGUCCGCUCCACGCAUCGACCCGGU
RNAcentral lists this small nuclear RNA (154 nucleotides) under Oncorhynchus kisutch (coho salmon). Its description in RNAcentral is "U2 spliceosomal RNA (ENSOKIG00005006578.1)". It matches the Rfam family "U2 spliceosomal RNA". From Rfam's summary of the family: U2 is a small nuclear RNA (snRNA) component of the spliceosome (involved in pre-mRNA splicing). Lineage: Eukaryota; Metazoa; Chordata; Actinopteri; Salmoniformes; Salmonidae. The record is from Rfam by way of RNAcentral.